This 1104-nucleotide ribosomal RNA is filed under the name Triticum aestivum (bread wheat). Its description in RNAcentral is "partial small subunit ribosomal RNA". Lineage: Eukaryota; Viridiplantae; Streptophyta; Magnoliopsida; Poales; Poaceae. The record is from RNAcentral.
AUGGACUCCAUGGAAUCAUGCGUCCCUCCUGGGUUCAGGUUCCACCCCACCGACGAGGAGCUCGUCGGCUACUACCUCCGCAAGAAGGUGGCCUCCCAGAAGAUCGACCUCGACGUCAUCCGCGACAUCGAUCUCUACCGCAUCGAGCCAUGGGAUCUCACAGAGCACUGUGGCAUCGGGUACGAGGAGCAGAACGAGUGGUACUUCUUCAGCUUCAAGGACCGCAAGUACCCAACGGGGACGAGGACGAACAGGGCAACCAUGGCAGGGUUCUGGAAGGCGACGGGGAGGGACAAGGCGGUGCACGAGAGGAGCAGGCUCAUCGGCAUGAGGAAGACCCUCGUCUUCUACAAGGGCAGGGCGCCCAACGGACAGAAGACCGACUGGAUCAUGCACGAGUACCGCCUCGAGACUGACGAGAACGCACCACCGCAGGAAGAAGGAUGGGUGGUGUGCAGGGCGUUCAAGAAGAGGACGGCGUACCCGAACCGGGGCAUGAUGGAGAGAUGGGGCUCAAACUACUCCUACAACGAGGCCAAUGCCAUGUCCGGCGCGCCGUUCCCGGACCCGAACAUGGCGUCGACGUACGCGGCAGCGGCGCAGAUGGGCAGGGGCGCGAGCUUCAAGGAGGAGGCGGAGCAGCUGGACGGCGCCGCCGCGCUGCUGCGGUACACCUCCAGCCACCUCGUCGAGUUGCCGCAGCUCGAGAGCCCGUCCGCGCCGCUCCCGCGGAAGAAGGCCAGGGCGCCCGAGGAGGAGGAGGACGCCGCCUCCGGUGGCAGCAGGCGUCGGCCUCGCAAGCACGCGCACGCCGACAAUGCGGCCACCACGGACUGGAGGGCUCUGGACAAAUUCGUGGCGUCGCAGCUCAGCCCCGGCGGCGAGUGCGCCGCUCUGGAAGCAACGGCGGCGACCACGGCGGCUGCGGUUGCCGGCGCGAGCUCGCAGGCGCAGGCGCAGCUGGACCGCGACGAGGACGACAUGGCCGCAUUGCUGUUUCUCAACAGCGACGGGAGGGAUGAGAUGGAGAGGUGGACGGGGCUGCUCGGCUCGGCCGGCGCCGGCGUCGACAGCGACCUGGGGAUCUGCGUGUUUGAUAAAUGA